GGACUGGAAAACUUACAGUUGAUAAGAAAAUUUUAAAGUGAACGAACAACAAUGGCAAACGUAAAAAUUCAUAGUCUCGAAAAUAAUAGGGAGAUCUAUAUCAAGGACAAGGAUUUCUACUUGACCAUAUACACGGAAUUGAACUAGCUCCGCAGAAGUCUCACUGUCAGUCUCGUGGUUUCGGAUUAGAUAUAAGCCUUGGUAACCUGGGACUGACUGAAGCCAGAAACCAAUCCGUCCAGCAAAAGCCACCAACUUCAGACGACUGCUCGUAUCCUUGCGAUAGGGAUAUGACUGCCAGUUUUGACAAGUGGCCCAUCCAUCAUGAUCAACUAAGCAACUAGUUCAAUGUCAGGCCAUCAAUCAACCUGGGUUCCAUUCUCAAAUCGAGUCGAUUAGUCGAAACUGGAGACGAAGACAGAUACCUAACUAGAAGACCUGUAGGACCUCGAGGAGGACCUCGAGGAGGACUCAAAACACACCCGGGCUUCACAUAAAUACGUUUAUUAUAAUUUCAGAUUUUGUUUUGGAAAUAGUUCUUGAGAUAAGCUUGACGUUUCAUAAAAUGUAAUACAUAUAUAUUUCUUCGCGGUAA
This is a long non-coding RNA of Drosophila subpulchrella, 595 nucleotides long. RefSeq lists it as uncharacterized. Lineage: Eukaryota; Metazoa; Arthropoda; Insecta; Diptera; Drosophilidae. The record is from RefSeq and is a predicted model, not a curated record. The transcript is spliced from 2 exons.